RNAcentral lists this long non-coding RNA (1073 nucleotides) under Equus asinus (donkey). RNAcentral describes it as "lncRNA (ENSEASG00005034259.1)". Lineage: Eukaryota; Metazoa; Chordata; Mammalia; Perissodactyla; Equidae. The record is from RNAcentral.
CCUGGCUUCGCCGCCAGCUCCCGAGGUUUCAGAGCCGUCCCGGGCGUGCCACCGAGAUGCCAAGCCGCCUGCCGUCCUAGAGGGGGCGCAGACUCGGGGCGCGGGCCCCGGGCCAGGGCCUCUUCCGGCUUCGCGCGCCGAGCCCUGGAAUCUAGUUGCUGCCCCCGAGACCCAGGCAGCCCGAGCCCGGCGGCCACAUCCCGCCCAGAGCAUGGCUGGCCUGUCUGCGGUGCCGAGGGAGACCUGGCCCCUUCACUGGAGCUUGGCAGGGCCCGGCUACCUCCCGCUGGCGUUCUAGCACCUUCCGAGCCCCGGAGCAGGACCUGACGGAGCUGCCUGGGGAGACCGGGGCGCGGGUGCGGAACGACCUGGAAGGAGACCGCAGUCCUUUUCGGGUGGAGCCGGGGAAACUGAGCUGCAGAUCUCCAGGUCAAGGAGUAAGUAGAGAGGGUGGGAGCAGGUCCACAGGCAUGGAAGGAGAACCCAGAGCUUCCCGGACACGGCCAGCCUGCUCUAGAUUCCCCCCGGCCCCUCAGACGACGCCGCUGGUGGGAGAGCGCGCGGCUCCCCGGGGUCACUGGCCCCGCCUGCCGCGUCCCGCCGAGCGACCCCAGCCGACGCUCGGAGACGGAUAAGCGCCGAAGGAAGCUCCACGCCCUUCACUGGGCUGCAUCUUCCAGGAAGCUCUGCGCCCCGCUGGGAGCUGCUAAAGACUUGGGCGAGGGCGAGUCCCAAGAGGCUGGAGACGAUUCUCCCAGGCCGAGCUCCAGCUGCUAGGCCGCGGCCCCCUCGGCCCUCCACCCACUCUGGAGCGGAAAGAGCCGGCCUCGGAAGGAAGAUUCCAUCCUAGCGCAUCCCUUCCGGCGGAGCGAGCUCUCCACUCGCGGUUGGGUCAGCCGCCGUCUCCGCCCACCAGGCCAGCCUUAGCUUCCUUCCCUUUCUUGCCCAUCAGGGGCCAGAGGAGCAGAGAAGCUAAAGCUAAAUCUAGAGAGCGGCACAGCACCAGUUUUGGCGCAGACCCCAGCCGGGUGGCAUGGGUUUUGACGGGCAUGGCGUCGCUGCCAGAAGACCAG